This 30-nucleotide unclassified non-coding RNA is filed under the name Mesorhizobium prunaredense. Its description in RNAcentral is "P26". The record is from RNAcentral. Lineage: Bacteria; Pseudomonadati; Pseudomonadota; Alphaproteobacteria; Hyphomicrobiales; Phyllobacteriaceae.
AACGACCAAGCGCUGUUCGGCCGCCAAACU